Long non-coding RNA from Aethina tumida (small hive beetle), 737 nucleotides. RefSeq lists it as uncharacterized. The transcript is spliced from 4 exons. Lineage: Eukaryota; Metazoa; Arthropoda; Insecta; Coleoptera; Nitidulidae. The record is from RefSeq and is a predicted model, not a curated record.
AAUCUAACCAUGACCGGGUAAAUCCGGAAACCCUAAUUAUGAAUGUCAUAUUAAGGGUGCAUAACAGAACGACGAAGACUGUGUCUCCAGCUUCCGAAUUGAGGAGAGUGAGAUGUAGUGAAACGAAAUUUAUUAGCCGUUUGUACCUUCCUGUAUAUUAUACUGUAAUUAUCUGUUGAUAUACCACACGGUAUAUAUAGCUUCUCUCAAUGGUCAUCGGAGCAACUACGAGGAUAGUCGGGGAAUUUGGUUAAUUUUCCUGGUUUUACUUCAUCAUCCCCUGGGAUACUGAUUGUAUACUGUGUGCUAUAUUUGUUCUGGUCAUGUUUGAAACUAAGAAAAAUGAAGGAUCACGUGUUAGUGCCUAAAACUUUAGUGACUAAGAGUCGUGUCUUCAUCGAACCCACCCCAUCUAAAAACCUUCAGGCGCCCUAAAUUAGGAAUACGGAGAGAUUGGCAAAGAUAUACAAAGUGAAUUAUUGAAGGUAUUAUAACAAGCUCCUCCGAAAUUUAAAGGGCCAUCGUCACAAGAAGGUGUGAGGUCUUUUUAGACAUUGUAUUAACUGAAGAAAUACUAGAAACAAUCAGUGACCGGAAGAAUAUAUCAGUAUCUGUGUACCAGAUGUUGAAAAUUUCGCAGCACAACUGAUAUUUAAAUAACACGAAAUCAUGUAAGUUACUUAAAAUAGGUAAUAUUUUAAGUAAUGAGUAUAAAUUAUUAUUACUGUUAAAUUUUA